UACGGAGGGUGCGAGCGUUGUCCGGAAUCACUGGGCGUAAAGGGCGCGUAGGCGGCCGAGGCAGUCAGUGGUGAAAGCCCGGGGCUCAACUCCGGGUCGGCCACUGAUACUCUUCGGCUCGAGUGUGGUAGAGGCAGGUGGAAUUCCGGGAGUAGCGGUGGAAUGCGUAGAGAUCCGGAAGAACACCGGUGGCGAAGGCGGCCUGCUGGGCCACUACUGACGCUGAGGCGCGACAGCGUGGGGAGCAAACAGG
Molecule: ribosomal RNA, 253 nt
Filed under: uncultured bacterium
Lineage: Bacteria
Description: partial 16S ribosomal RNA
Rfam family: Bacterial small subunit ribosomal RNA
Source: RNAcentral